UUCUUUUGCUCUUCUUAUAAAGCCACAAGUCUGAUCAUGGAAGCACCACCCCAAUGAUCUUAUCUCAUUCUAAUUACCUCUCAAAGGUCUCACCUGUAAAUAUCAUCAACAUCUGAAUUUAAGUUUUCAACAUAUGAAAUUUGGUGGAUAUAGUCAAACUGUAGCAGUCAUGAAGCAAGAAUCGAAUACUUUCAAAGACUUUGAAUCAUAUAGAAUGUUUUCUCUUCACAACAGAAAAAAUUAUAAAUCAAUAACAAGAAGAUAUCUGGGAUAUUUUCAGGGAGAAGUAAACAUCUACAUAUUUCUGAAUUUCAAAAAGAAUCGAAAACAUUCGAGAUUGUCAGAAGAAGCAAAGUUCAUCUUAGCACUGACUCAACAGGAAAUUUCUCAAGUGGAAUUUUACAUCAGGAUGCUGUGUGAUAUAAAAUAAACAAUGGUGUCAAUAAUAUUCUGCAAUAAAUGCAGUAAGAAUGUAUUUUCUGUCAUGUUCUCUGAUAAAAGCUGAAAAUAUGCCAUUAUCAAACACACCCCCAGUAGCAAUUCUACAAAAUUUAAAAUAAAUAUCAUCCAAAAAUAUAUGCUUUCUCACCUCGAGGUAAAACUUAAAUUAUCUAGAGGGGUGGAAACCAGCAUAUCAAUUUUACCUGCACACAGAAAUGCUGGCAAAUGGAAAGGAAUGAUACUCUAUUUCUAUAGAUGUCACUUUAAGAUGGCACCAUAACUCAUAACUCAGAACUCAGAAGAAAUUGUAGGGUAGUUGUUAUUUAUAAUUGGGAUGUAUUUAUAUGCAAAGUACCCAGUUCUAGAACUGGACAAAAAUUUUAAUAUGGCUGCUAAAAUAAAUGGCAUAAACUGUGUUCUCAUCUCUUCUACAAAAACAUACAUUUUCCAUUUCUGGAUCCUGCAGUUCCUUGAACUAUCUUCCAACCAGCAGGUAGUUAUCCCAGUCUAGAAAAUGUAACAUUUGCAAAUUGCUAAGCCUCUCAAAGUAUAAAAUAAAUUCUAGGCUCAGUUUUUUCAUCAGAAAUUCUGCCCUUACUAUAUCAAUAGUAUUAAUUUCAGAAAUGAGCAAAAUGAUCUGUUUAUAUCAAAAAAAGAUUUGAUGGUGUCAGGCAGGAGAGAUGUUUCCUGUCAUGCCUUAUUUACAUCAUAAUAUGAUGUCUUAGAAUUGAGCUUAUACAAUGGAGUCUGUGCUUGUGGACCUGUAGGUUAUAUGUUAUCUCUCUAAUAGACUGCCUGUAAUUUCAGAUGACAAAUAUUUUCUCACAUUAUCCAAAAUAAGGAAAUAGAUGCUGCUACAUAUAUGGGCAGAAAAUCUUGAGAAUCUACUUAUGUAUUGCAGCACAGCUGAGAAUGAAACUUGUCAGCUCAGUGGCUUUAGGCAUCUCUGUGUAUCUGUGCCUAUGUGAGAAUAAGUUGGUAUGUUUGGUUUCUUGCUCUGGUAGUUAUGAGUGUAAAACCACUAUAGAAUGUUAGCUGGUAUCCAUAGCUCAUACACACAUUAAUAAGUGAUAUAUUAGUUUGUGAAGGAAAUAAAGUUUUAUUCUAAAUAUGUAAUCCUUUUAUCAAUUUUCCUGUUGUAGUGCAAGUGCUAAAGUCUCUCCCCUAUGCAGUUUUACUCAGAAGAUACGUGUACCUUUGACAAUUGCAGCCCUCUCUCAAUAAAGGUUGAGAAUAAUACAGAAUAUCUAUAAAAAUAUACCAGCAUAAUUUUCUAUCCAAACAUAAAAUAUGUCUAAGUUUGAUAAUUAGUAUAUAACUUUACAUAUGUUCCUUUUUGAAAGAAGACUCAACAUUUCACUAAACUAAUAAAAUGCCAUUAAAUUUGCUUGAAAUAUUAAUUAGUCAAAUCACAAAAGGAACCUUUAUGCCUUCUCCUCUCCAAAGCAUGGUUAGCAGUUCAGCUGUUACAGUUCCCUCUUCUAAUCUCUAUCAGAAGACAGUUAAACAGCACAACAGACAUUACAUGCAGUAGGCUGUAGGAAUACAAAUAUUGGUACCAUGGAAGGCAUAAUUGCAUGGUUUUAGUCUAUUUUAUGAAGCUCCACCAAUAGAUGUAGAUUUUCAACUAGAAAACUCUCUGGAAAUAAGGUACUGUUGCUACACUUUAUGUUCAUGUAAAGUCAUGUUAGACAUAUCAUGAGAAUAAAUUGAAACUAAUUAUCUUUUAAAAUCUAUGGUUACCAUGAAAAAUAAUAAAAGCAUUCAUACUGUGGAUAUCAUUAAAUAAAACAAUGAAAAUUUGUUAAAAAUUUUAUCAGUGAUUAUUUUAACCGUAAAUACUAAGACAAUAGAAACAAACUAUUAGGCAAUCGUUUAUGGUAAGAAGAAAAGUUAAGACUUGUGUCAUUAAUCAUUUACAACAAUGCAUCAAGGAUAAAACAAACCACAAAAACAAAUUAAUCGAGUGUAUAUCUCUUCAUAAAAUAUAGUUCCAGUGACUUGUGAUUUUGUUAAAAAUUUUUAUUCUAUUUCAAAGUGUUUUAAGAAGCACCUAAUUAAAACAUAGUUCCAGUGACUUGUAAUUUUGUUAAAAAAUUAUGUUUCAAAAUGCUUUAAGAAGCAUCUAAUUAAAAUAUGGUAAUGGAAUAUUUUUGUACAGGCAAACAAAUUGCUACCCACAGUCAUGUAACAAACCUGCACAUUCUGCACAUGUAUCCCAUUUUUUAGAAGAAAUUAAAAUAAUUUACAAAUUGUAGGACUGCAAACAUUUGAUAUGUUUAUAAUUACAGCUGCAAUAGUGUAUGUAAUGGCUUUGUUUGAUACCAGCCUGGCCAAGGUGGCGAAACCCCGUCUCUACUAAAAAUACAAAAAUUAGCAGGCUGUGGUGGCAGGUGCCUGUAAUCUAGCUACUUAGAAGGCUGAGGCCUUAGAAUCCCUUGAAACCCAGGAGGUUGAGGCUGCUGUGAGCCAAGAUCAUGUCACUGCAUAACAGCCUGGGUGACAGAGGGAGACUGUCUCAAAAAAGAGAGUAUUAGAUAUACAAUAAAGUGCACAUAUUUAUAGUUUAUUAUUUGCUAAGAUUGAUAUAUGUAUACUCUGUGUAUACCCUGUGAAACCACCCCUAUAGUCAAUUAUGAACAUAUCUACUACCCAGAAAAGUUUCCUCAUGUCCUUAUGUAAUAACACCCUCAUGCCACUCCCUAGGCAAGCUAAUGUGCCACUAUAGAUUAGUUCGCAUAUUCUAGCAUUUUAUGUAAAUAAAAUAAAACACUAUUCUUAUUUGUGUGGCUUCAUUCUAGAAAAACUAUUUCAGGAUUCAUCUUUGUUGUUGCUUCUAUAGUUUUUGGUUUGUUUUGGUUUUUGCUAUGUAAUAUUGCAUUGUAUGGAGGUACCAGAACUUGUUUAUCCAUUAAUCUAUUGUGAAUAUUUGGAUUGUUUUCAAUUUCUGGUUACUGCAAGUAAAGCUGCUAUGAAGUUGUGGACAAAUCUUUGUAUGGACAUAAGUUUUCAAUUCUCUUGGAUAAACAACAAGGAGAAGAAUAUUUCAGUUAAAUGGAAGGUUAUUUUUAACAUCUUAUGAAACUGUCAAACUGUUUUCCAAAGUGGUUGUACGAUUUUGCCUUCUUACCAGCAGUAUAUGAGAGUUCUGACUCUUCUACACCCUCACCAACAAAUCUGUAAUUCUUUAAAAAGCCUGGCCUUAGCAAAUGUUGCCAAGGAUGAAGAAAAGCCAUGAGCUUUGAUAUUGUGUCCAUUUCAUCUAAGUUGACAAAUAUUUAGCAUAAAAUUGUUGUGAAGAUACUGAUACCCUUAUUUCCCCUUUGGUAUUUGUAAAAUCUGUGAUACAAUCACUCUUCUCAUUUCUUAUCCUGAUAAUUUGUGACAUCUACUUUGUUUCACCUUCUUGCUUUUCCAAAUCUUUUGCGAGAAUUUAUCAGUUUUAUUGACCUUUUUGAUAGUCAGCCUUUGGUUUCAUUGAUAUUUUCUUAUUUGUGUUUCUAUUUCAAUAUCUUUAUCUUUAUGCGAUGUUUAUAUAUUUAUAUCAAUAUUUCCUAUGAAAUCUACAUUAUUUAAUAUUAAUAUAGUUUCUCCAGCCUUCUUUUAGUGUGAAAAUGGUAUAUCAUUUAAAACUCUUUUUCACUAUUUGUAUGUAUAUAGAGAAAGUAUGCUGUUGAAGAUAGUUUUUAAUUCAGUUUGACAACUUCUUUUAACUGGAGCUUUUAACUUACAACCUUUUUUUAUUACCUUUUCCAUUUCUGUCUGCCUUCAUUUAAACUGAGCAUUUUUUAUAACUAUUUUCUUUAUGUUGGCUUGUUAACUAUAAUUCUUUGUUUUGUUAUUUUAUUUAUAGCUUUAGUGUUUAUAGAUUACACUUUUACUUUAUCACAAUCUAUCUUCAAGUAUUAUACCACUAUUUCCAAUUUCUCAAAAUCCAAAUUACAAAACAAAACAAACAAAAAAACCCUUUCAAGUUAUUUAGUUCUUUAUUCUAUUUUAGUUGCCUGCUAUCCUGAAAACUUACUUAAACUGGAG
RNAcentral lists this long non-coding RNA (4476 nucleotides) under Homo sapiens (human). Its description in RNAcentral is "HSALNT0373531". The record is from RNAcentral. Lineage: Eukaryota; Metazoa; Chordata; Mammalia; Primates; Hominidae.